RNAcentral lists this ribosomal RNA (433 nucleotides) under uncultured bacterium. Its description in RNAcentral is "partial 16S ribosomal RNA". It matches the Rfam family "Bacterial small subunit ribosomal RNA", at positions 29 to 507 of the family's 1533-position model. The record is from RNAcentral.
AACGAACGCUGGCGGCAUGCCUAACACAUGCAAGUCGAACGACACCUUCGUGUCUAGUGGCGCACGCGGGCGUAGAGCGUCGGACCCUGCCCUUAGGCUCGGAAUAACACCCCGAAAGGGGUGCUAAUACCGGAUAAUGUCUUCGGACCAAAGAUUUAUCGCCUUUGGGUGAGCCCGCGUUGUAUUAGCUAGUUGGUAGGGUAAGAGCCUACGACGGCGACGAUCCAUAGCGGGUCUGAGAGGAUCAUCAGCGACUCUGGGACUGGGACGCGGCCCAGACUCCUACAGGAUGCAGCAGAGGCUAAUACUGGACUAUCGCCGGGGGGAUGAUCCACCAAUGCCUCGUGAGUGAUGAAGUUCUGAGGGUUGUGAAGCUCGUUUACCCGGGAUUAUAAUGACGGUACCGAAAGAAUAAGCACCGGCUAACUCCGUG